Molecule: transfer RNA, 88 nt
Filed under: Trichodelitschia bisporula
Lineage: Eukaryota; Fungi; Ascomycota; Dothideomycetes; Phaeotrichales; Phaeotrichaceae
Description: tRNA-Pro
Source: RNAcentral
GGCCCAAUGGUCUAGUGGUAUGAUUCUCGCUUUGGGUUGCUCAAUCCAAGCAUGCGAGAGGCCCCGCGUUCGAAUCGCGGUUGGGCCC